UGUUGGUGGAAAGCGAAGUUACUUUUGACUUUUGUAAAAUAGGUAUUCGUAAAAAAAUAAGUAGCCUGAGAACGAACGGCUGUCGGUUCUCUUGAUCGAAAGUUCGCCUCUUUAAUUUCUGUAAAAUACAAUAUUAGGAAGCAUUUGACGUUCAGCAGGAGAUGUCACUAGACCACGAUAUUGUCAUCGAUCAACCGGCUGGAGAGUUUGUCACCUCUGGAUCGAGGAGCAAUUAAUUCUGGCGAACGACUUCAUGGAUCGGACAGCGGAGCACAAUUCACCGUCAAAUCAAACAUGAGAACACCACGAACAUAGGAAUGCCCUCCGAUGGAGCGAGUAAAAUGGAUUCUUCCGUGGAACAUGGACGGUGACAUUCUAAUUUCAAGUCACCCAAUCGGUUCCAACGUACAAAAAAUUCGAUUGGCAAUGCAAAGCAUCCCGAAAGCGAAGCUAAAGAACAAUCUUCGCCGAAGCAAAAGAAGAAUUUAGUUUGAAUCUGAGGCAGCAUAUCAAUUUUCGUUCUGCCAGUGAUCUUUGACUCUGUGAUCAAAACGAUCGCCCCAUCUUCCACGAAGAUAUUUUAGCAGGCGAUGCUAUGGUCGAGUUAGAGGAUUUUGGAACGUGACCCGAUUUCUGACCCUCUAGUCUCGGGAUGUAAUCAUCGUUUGAUGCCCGGGGGACGAGAACGAAGGAAGACAACAAAGAAGGGAAAGGAUUAUGGACAGAAUGGACGAAGAACCGUGGUCGAGAAUGAGAUUUAGUCGGAGUCCGGGAAUGCAGGGCAACAAUCACGGACGAUUGAAUCGGCCGCACGAGAGAUAUCGAUUGGCAGGACCAGUCGAUACCAUCUUGUUUCGAACAGCGCCGACGAAAAAGGAAGCACAGGCCGUUUGUAAUUCGUUGUAAUUGGUUCUUUCGCUUCGGUUGACUCCAGUUCUUUGCGAGUCUUCGGAUUUAAGAGCCCCGCUUGCGACCAGCGAUUGCGACGACGAUGCUAUUGUCCUCGAGUUUUAAUCCCCGAUCCGUUAGAUUCCAAGGAAUUUCGAAUAAUUGGAUGAAAUUAACUUUACAGAGAAAUCGAUUAGCGAUCGUUUAACAAAAUCUCGAGAUUGAUAAGCGUGUCUGAAAGAUACGAAAGAAGUUCCAAACGAGUAUUUGUAAUUUCUUGGUGUAAUAUCGAACUUUUUUGUUGCAUAGUUGGGAUUAGGUUGGGGUUAGGUUUGUGGGGUUAGGGAACUGUUUUUUUUUUUUUUUUUUAAUAAAUUUUAUAUCGUAAAUACGAUCGUAAAACUUAAUCGCAAUGAUUUAUGGCACGUAAUAUGGUUAUAGUUCUCUGGUUACAAGCAAUAUUUUGUAGCAAUACUUUGAAGUGUAUUGACUCACCACAACGAUAUUUCGCUUCAAACGACUGCUUUUGAUAAUUUUGUUUGACUAAAUCACGUUGUUGAAUUCCGAUAUUACGUUAGUAGAAAAUACAGGUAGAAUAAUGAACGCCAUUGAUUGGUCGAUCAAGUAGAAUUCUAGAAUCAAAUAAAUUACAUUGAAUUCGGUACCGAGAGACAUUUAAAGGUACGGGAGGAAAUAAAAUGAGCAAGAACCGCUAACUAAUUUACCAAAGCAGCCAAUAUGUAUCACAAUCCGUAUAUCCGGCUUGUGUGUACAAUAAUUGUAUGUGUUCUCGAUUCACGCGUACUCGUAUUUACAACGUUGUAAUACAAAACCAGGAUAUACUAUCUUUAGUAACAGCCAAGUCUUGUACACUACGUAUAAUCCACUACUAAUAUACUUUGUAAUGUCA
Molecule: long non-coding RNA, 1798 nt
Organism: Bombus huntii
Lineage: Eukaryota; Metazoa; Arthropoda; Insecta; Hymenoptera; Apidae
Exons: 3
Source: RefSeq, a predicted model, not a curated record